AAAGGUAAGCUACUAAGAGCGAAUGGUGGAUGCCUUGACUGGUAAAGGCGAUGAAGGACGUACUAGACUGCGAUAAGCUACGGGGAGCUGUCAAGAAGCUUUGAUCCGUAGAUUUCCGAAUGGGGCAACCCAAUGUAUAGAGAUAUACAUUACCUAUAUAGGAGCGAACGAGGGGAAUUGAAACAUCUUAGUACCCUCAGGAAAAGAAAUCAAUAGAGAUUGCGUCAGUAGCGGCGAGCGAAAGCGCAAGAGGGCAAACCCAGUGCUUGCACUGGGGGUUGUAGGACUGCAAUGUGCAAGAGGUAAGUUUAGCAGAACAUUCUGGAAAGUAUAACCAUAGAGGGUGAUAGUCCCGUAUGCGAAAAACAAACCUUAGCUAGCAGUAUCCUGAGUAGGGCGGGACACGAGGAAUCCUGUCUGAAUCCGGGUCGACCACGAUCCAACCCUAAAUACUAAUACCAGAUCGAUAGUGCACAAGUACCGUGAGGGAAA
This 492-nucleotide ribosomal RNA is filed under the name Campylobacter jejuni. Its description in RNAcentral is "partial 23S ribosomal RNA". It matches the Rfam family "Bacterial large subunit ribosomal RNA", at positions 1 to 512 of the family's 2925-position model. Lineage: Bacteria; Pseudomonadati; Campylobacterota; Epsilonproteobacteria; Campylobacterales; Campylobacteraceae. The record is from RNAcentral.